This is a long non-coding RNA of Mytilus californianus (California mussel), 723 nucleotides long. RefSeq lists it as uncharacterized. The transcript is spliced from 4 exons. The record is from RefSeq and is a predicted model, not a curated record. Lineage: Eukaryota; Metazoa; Mollusca; Bivalvia; Mytilida; Mytilidae.
AAAUAUAUAUAUUAAAUAGUUGUAAGGGUUUAAUUAACUAACAGCUCCAUGUGGAGGUGCUCCUAUGUAAAGGAUGCUUAUUAACAAAAUAAUUUGUUAUAUGUUCCAAGGAUUUGUAUAGUAGGAAUGGGGGAACUAGCAGGUACCUAUUUUUCACUUUUGACAUGGAGAAAUACUUUGAACAUCAGAUCAGGACAAUAUCCGUGAAUCUCUCGUCCGGAGUCGGGUUUUUUAAAACGCUUGAAAGAUACAGAUUAUGACGCGUCUUAAAGAGAAGAACGCCGUCAGCCGAUUGUCAACAACAGUACUUGUUUCAGUUAAUUUAACAAGACAAACAAUACCAAGGAGCUAUGAGUCAAUGAAUACUCGAGGAUGUACUACAGCAGUAUUACAAGGUAUGGGCAGAGGAGUUGACUAUUGAUAAUGACUGAUACUGGAAUUAAUGAAGUAACCUACAUGUAGUGUCCAAUCUCUAUGUGGAGUUUGCCUAUCAGACAGUCCAUUUUUACAUGUACCAAAAAAUAAUUAGCUCCCCAGAUGUAAGUGGUAGUGAAGUUAUACAUGUUAUAUGUUUCGAUGAAAUGAAUGCCUUGAUUAGAUAUACAUGUAGUGGAGACCCUAUAGAUACAGUACAUGUAACUGGAACUGUAGGAAGUAUUCAAAGAGUCUGAUUGCUAAGUAUGCAUUACAGGAUUUUAUCAUUGGAGCAACAUCUUAAGAGGU